GAACACCUAGUUGUCGAAGUGUCGAGGAAUUAGCCUCGACAUGAAUUCUUACUAAGGCUCAAUUUUAUAGUGUUAGCAGCAUCAGGUAUUUUGGGCUUUACUUGAGGAACAAGCAAGUCCAAAAUCUAUAAAUAGGGAGUAACCUUUAUUGAUCGUAUAACCCAACAUAAAUGCAGUCGCACAAGUUGAAUAAAUCUCAAUUUGAGAGCAGAGAAUUACUCUGCAUAAUCAAUUCAUCUUAUUCCCUCUCUUGAUAAACCCUAACCCUUU
RNAcentral lists this long non-coding RNA (270 nucleotides) under Lathyrus oleraceus (garden pea). RNAcentral describes it as "Pisum sativum (pea) long non-coding RNA (PSAT_LNC003147)". Lineage: Eukaryota; Viridiplantae; Streptophyta; Magnoliopsida; Fabales; Fabaceae. The record is from RNAcentral.